UUGUUUUUUUUUUUCAUAUGUUUUAGGUCAUGCCGUCUCCCACCACGGGGAGUUUUUCAAUGCUUCAACCUCCAAUGCUCACUUCCAUUACAAAAGACGAAGCAAACAUGGAUAUUUCUACUUCCUCUGAUUUUAAUUCUAAUUCUCUAAAUCAGGUACCUUAUAUAUAUAUUUGAAUUGUAUUUCUUGUUACUUAAAAUCGUGAUACUGUAAAACUAUUUACAUUAAUAUACAUAUCAUAUUUUUUUCAUAUAUAAAUGUAUUAUGUUAAGAGUCAUAUUUUUUUACUAAGUCUUAACUUUCUUAAGAAUAUAUUUCUAUUAUUUUGAACUCGCCAGGGUUGUAAUAAUUAUCACAUGAUGAAUGGAGAGUAUAAAGAAGACCAAAUAUUUGUCCAAGAUCAACUACCAAUAGAUUUUCCAUUCUCAGAAGAUUUUUCAAAUAACUUCUUUAAAAAUAAUGGAUUCCUUUUUCACAAUGAUUUGAAACUGGAAGAUUUGAUGAUUGAUAAUAUUGAUGUACCCAUCUCUCAUUCCGAAGAAGUUAGUGAUGAAAGUAAUCUUCUUGAAAAUUCGAUCCCGGUCGCGGAUGAUAUUGGACGACAACAUGUUUUAGAAGUAGAACAAAAAGAAACAGGUUAUGCAACCGGAACAAAGAACACUGACGAUGGUUAUAACUGGAGAAAAUAUGGACAAAAACAAGUAAAAGGAAGUGAGUUUCCAAGAAGCUACUAUAAAUGUACUCAAUCGACUUGUGAGGUCAAGAAAAAAGUUGAAAGAUCGCAUGAUGGCCAGAUAACUGAGAUUAUUUACAAGGGUAAUCACAACCAUGAGAGACCACAUUCGAAUCGUCGAGGAUCAAUAAUACCUUUGAAUGAUGAGAUUUCAGAAACUGCUGAAGCCAAUGAUAAAGUUAACUCGCGAGAAAAAGAUGUGAACCAUAGUUCCAAGAUGAAGCUUGAAGAUCAAGGAAGGACAUCCCCGCCUUCUUUUACGACCGAGCAUUCAAAUCCUGCGAAGAGAGGUAGAUCAUUAGGUGUGUUUGAAUCAGAUGAAGCCCAAGAGAAUUCUUCUGCACUUGUUAAUCAUGAUGGUAACAAAGAUGGAUCCACUCAAAUGGUUUUACCGAAUGAAGAUAGUGCGGAAGAUGGUGAAUCGGAAUUGAAAAGAAGGUAUUGUACUUUAUUUGAUAGUGUCUUUAUUUUGGCAUUAUAAGUAAAAAUAAAUCUUAUGUUUGUUGCUUUAAUUUUAUUUUGUAGGAAAAAGGAAAGCUAUCCGGCUGAACACCUGCUGCCUGCGAGAGCUAUUCGUGAGCCGCGAGUGGUAGUCCAAAUCGAGAGUGAAAUCGACAUACUUGAUGAUGGUUAUCGUUGGCGAAAGUACGGGCAAAAGGUUGUCAAAGGGAAUCCAAACCCGAGGUAAUGAUAUUUCUUUUCCUUAUUCACUUGUAGGCCUAUUUAGUAGAAAAUAUUGUCGAUGUAGCAAAAUUCGAACAAAUCACCAUUGUUUCCGAUAUGUUACUUGUUACAAAAAGUUGCCAAAUAGCGGCUUUAAUCGUGUUAUAGCACACUGUUGUGUUGCAGAAUUUGAACAAAUCUGUAUGAUGUUAUAAGUUAGUAUUAUGUAUGUAAAAUUCUCUCAUCCAUCUCUUGUAGGAGCUACUACAAAUGCACAAGUGCUGGAUGUAAUGUAAGGAAACAUGUGGAAAGAGCUUCACACAAUCUAAAAUUUGUGAUUACUACUUAUGAGGGAAAACAUAACCAUGAGGUUCCAACUGCUAAGAAUAACAAUCACAUAAACUCAAACGAUUUUGGUUCACAUUCAAGUGGUGCUAAUGGGUUACAUGGGAGUGCUGGUAUCCUAAAGUCGGAAACUCAUCAGCCUAUUGCAUCUCAUUUUGAUAGAAAACCCGAUUUUAGCGAUGAGUUUGUGCGGUCAAGUUUGAUGGGAAGUUUCGCUAAUGAUAUGAAGUUUGGACCUUCCUCCAUGGCCCAAAUGCCGUAUUCUUCCUUGGAUAAUAUUGUACCAUAUGGAUGCUCCUAUGGAACGAAUCUCGAAUGUGGUGUUGCGCCUCAAGUCGGACAUAUGCCCCCGAUUUUCCCAGAAUUUCCAAUGCCGUUGCCAUUGAAUCUUCCUUCAUCUGGAAAUUUUUCUCUAGAUGGAAUUAAUCUCAACUAUGGAAAACCAAUGAAUUAUGUUCAGUCUUACCUUUCAAAUCAACAGAUGAGGGACUUUGAUACAGGACUCCUAAGGCCUAAAGAGGAGUUGAAUGAUGAUGCUUUGUAUACUUCAUGUCCAUCUUCUUUUGAUCAUGCAAGUUCCUCACUGAAUCCACCAUCAACAUCACCACCACAGUCCAUUUAUCAAAGUCUCAUGCAUAACUUCCCUUCAUAAUAUGUUUUUUACAAUAGUUAGAAAAAACAUGUUUUAUUGAUUUUUUUUCUUGUAGUUUUGGAAGAUCUAUUGUCUUAUCAUUGUUAUUUCAAUUUUUCAAAUACUUGUUGUAACAAAAUUUAGUGUUAUUAUACAAAUUUCAUAACAACAUUGUGUAUCUAGUUCUUGGUAUGUAACUUUAUUUUGUCCUAUCAUUUUUGUUGUUUCACAGUUUUUGUGUAUUUUUUUAAACAAUCAAACAUAGUAUGGUAUUCUUUUCAUACCAAUGUUUGUUAUUAAUAGGUGGUUUCACUACUUACAUUUUGAUUUCAGCGCCUAGUCAAAGGCAUUGCCAAGUUUCUCACAUGACACUUUCAACGUUUUUACUUCCUCGUCUUUUGUUUUUUUGCAUUUCCUUUGGCUCGCCCAAAGAUCGUUGUGCUUCAUCAUGCCCUUUAGUGGUAAACUUCAACGACAUCUUGGUCUGAAUGAACGUCUAUUUCAUGGUGUUCAGCCUAGUCUUAAAAUCUCUCCAACAUUGAAAUUUGAUUGGCUAUAAGCAUUGAACAUCACUCGUUCCAGCUUAAGAAUCUUUAGAAGACGAACCUAUAUCAAGUUGGACAUCUGCCCAACCCUUAACUGGGUCUCUAUUUUGUGAUCAUUAAGGAAGUUUGUGGGGAAGUCAAUGUGAUCCCACGAAAUUCUCUUACAUGAAAACCCUUGUUCCAAAGUGUAGGUCUCUCCUUAGGAGUCAUGGAAAUGUUUCUCUAUAACAAUGUUCCCUCAAGGUUGAAGGAGUCCAUAGAAUCCAAAUCUACGGUAUCUUUUUCUUAGAGAAAUUUAUGUUUUUGAACCUACACCGGAGAAGACGUUGCUUCAACUGCCCUAGAUUUUUUAAUCUAGAUUGGAGAAGUUGUUGCUUCAACUGUCCCAGGUUUGACAAGUUUAUAUUCCUAUCUUCGGAUGCCUUCUUUUACCCCGGAGAAUCAUAUUGGCAUGAUCACUUUUAGGAUCGAUUGACCACUUAGUGCCUCUUUGAUCCUUUUUCCUAGCGUUAGUGACUUUUUUCUCAACAAUGGUCAUUGGAGCCCUCAUUCAUGCAAGAAAAAAGAAAGAAAGACGAGAAUAAAUAAUAACAUCAAGACACGAUGCUCAAUUGCACCUAAAACUUACUUAUGUGAUUAUCAAUCUCAACAUCACCAUCAUCACUCUCGUCGUACUCCACCAUUUCCCUUAUAUUAUAGUGUAUAACAUUUCCAAGAGAUCGAAAAUCUCUCUUUUCGUCUCCCCUCAAAAAAUCGUGAUAUAAGUCAUUUAUUGGUGUCGGUUUAUUUGUCCUGUAGAAUGGAAACUGGUGUUCACCAGUCUCCUCAAACAUCAUCAUAGAGCAAUUGUCUCUCUCCCUCACUAUCAUUAAUCUGUCUUUCCAGUUCUUGUAGUUAGUGGAAUGCAUGGUGAAAAGAAUCACUCCAAAAAGGGAGUCUAUGGUCACCCAGCCAGCCUUACUUAAAGAUGGCACUAAAAAUACCUAUAAAUGAUCUCAAAUACCCUGAUAAAACCCCAAUCAUUCAAGGAUAUCUUAGAGGGUUAAAAGCCAUGGUCUUAUGGACCUCAUAUUCAAACACAGUGAAAUAAAUUAGUACCCCUAGGUCAUAAAUGACCGGAGGUACAUAUAAAAAAACUCUCCAUCUGAAUCAAAAGACACCUCCAUGUUAGGCCUCUCAUCUUCAAUACAGGGCUAUAAUAUCACAUCUCCCUCAUUACUCACACUGGAUAAAUUUAUAUUUUUACCAAAGAAGGUCAUCGUAUUCUUAAUCUUAUAGAGGAUUUCAAAAUCUUCAACACUCUCAUGUUUUAAACUACUGGCGGCCACUGACAUCAUUGCUCGUCCUGGGGAAAAUAGAGGAAAAUAGGAUCACUAUCAUUAUGACUACUAGAAUCAGAACUUCUAAAAUAGUAACUUCCAAACAUUCCUAAUUCUACAAGUUUGUAAUCAACCUUCCCAUUUGAUUGUUUCAUAUUUUCUACAUAAUGCAUCCACAUUGCUAAAGUUCCUUCAGGGUUAUUAGGUUUUGUUCUGGGUCGGUCAGACCAACCCUGGAUGGGUUUCUGUCGACCAUACCGACCCGGCCAACAAUCGGAUAAAGGUUUCACUUCUUCCAAAAUCUUAUUAAUACGCGGAGAUUAUCAUUCUAAUGACCAUCAAAAAUCUCAACUAUAAAACAUGCAACAACUCUACAUAAUUUGCUCAUAACUAAUAGAAAGUUAGUUAUUCCAUCUCUACUAUAUAUAAAGAUGAUGCUAAAAUCAGGUAAUAAGUUUCAAACACAAUUUCAUUUUCACUUUUCUUCUUCAUAUACUGACUUGAGCAUUGAAGUGCUAACUUUAUAGGUCAUCACUCCUCUGUGUUGGAAGACAUAAUCCUCCAUCACCACAAUUCACUUAAGCUUACUCUCACUUCAGCCUCGUAAUGACAAAUAGAUUUUUUUAAAAUUUAUUUGUUUCUUAUUUGACACCUAAUCCAUGAUAUAUUCACAUUUACCUAUUUUAUGGAAACAAUCCUUUUUUUUCGUUUCUUUCUCACUAUAUUAUUAUUAUUAUUAUUAUUAUUAUUAUUAUUAUUAUUAUUAUUAUUAUUAUUAUUAUUAUUAUUAUUAUUAUUAUUAUAUUAAUAAAUGUAUUAAAUAAUUACCCUUGUUAUUAUUAUUAUUAUUAUUAUUAUUAUUAUUAUUAUUAUUUUAUUAUUAUAAAUAACUUUUUUAAAUUUCUAUUAAAAAUAAGUUUUAUAUAUCAUUUUUCAUACUAAUUUAUUAUCAUUUUUAUUUAAUCAUAAUUAAAAUAUUAUUUUUUAAAAUAAUCACAUUAAAACAUUAUAAUACUUAUAAAACUAUUAAAUAAUAUAAUAAUUAAAAUAUCAUUUUAUACAUAAAAUAAAGGAUUAAAUAUGUUUAUGUUCCUCUUAAAUAUCUCAAAUUUCGUUUUUAGUCCCUCAAAAUAUUUCCUUCAAAUAAUGAUCGUCAUAAAAUUUUCUAUCCACACUUUUUGUCUAUUCUGCAACUUAGCAACUGAAUUAGCGACGAUUUUAGUGACGGUUUAUUACUUAGUGACUAAAUUAGCGACAGUUUUGACGACGGUUUUAGUAUUAUAAAUCAAAAGUAUGGAUGAAAAAUUUUAGGAGAAUCAUUCUUUGAAAAAAAUAUUUUUAGGGACUAAAAAUGAAAUUUGAAAUAUUUAGGAGGACCACCCUAAAAUAAAUUAUCGAAUAAAUAACUAAACUUACUAAAAUGAUAAAUAUAUUGUAUAUAAAAAUAUCAUGACGUUACAUUCUUACUCUCUUAAAAUAGUUUCGUCCUCGAAAUAGAAAGUCUAAGAUAUUAAAAUAUAAUUCUCUCAUUAAACAAAAUCCCAUAAAAAUAAAACCAAUUUUUUAUAUUAUGAAAAGUUAAAAUUAUUAUAACAAAUAAAAAAUAGCUAUAAAUAUAAUAGUUUCGUCCUUGAAACUAGAAGCUUGCGACAAAUCAAGAAAACACUUAAAAAAUCUAAAGUGAAAUUAUUCAAUUCCUUUUAUAUAAAUUUACAGUUGAAAACUAUAUUCAAUUUUUUUUAAUUAUGCAAACUAUUGAUUUAAGUUUAUAAGAACGAAUAAAAUUAAUAAAACGACACACUUCCUCUGCAUACUUUGAUUUCAAAUGGAUGUGAUCAUUAAAUCUAUAACUCAAAUAAGCCUUAAAAUAUCUACUAAAAUUAAGAGUUAUCUAAAUUAUUAAAUAAUUUAAAAGGAUAAUAUAUUGUAUGGUGUUAUAAGUUCAUGCUUUCCUUUUUUUCACAAAUCUGAGCAAAUUCAGUUAAGGUAUACUCACCAUCACCAUUUGUUCCCAACCAUUUGAUUGCAUAUUCAACCUGCUUUUCAAUUAGCAAAUUGAACCUCUUAAAACUAGUGUGCACCUCACUUUUCUUCUCUAACAGAUAAAUCUACAUAUAUCUAAUGAAUUUAUCUAUGAAGGUUAGGAAAUAGCAGUUACCUCCUAGUGACUUCACUACAUAGGGACCACAGACAUUUGAGUGCACUAUCUCCAAUUUUUUAUGUGACUUCAUUGCCAAGUCCUUUUUGAAUGACCUUCUAGCUUGCUUGGCAAUAUAACAAUCCUCACAUAGCUGCUUAGGCGUUGUAAUCUUGGGAAAAACAUACACCAUCUUCUUCAUAUGCAUAAGACUGAGACUUCUAAUUUUGAUUUCCAACUAUGUUUGAUGCAAGAAAUUGAUGAUUUAACACGUUGAUUGUGAUCUUCAAAAUUAGAUUAGACCUUUCAGCAAACACCUUGAAAUCUCUUUCUUCUAACCUCAUUUUAUAAUCUUUAUAAAGCAAUUGACCCAAACUGAUCAAGUUGCUUACCAUAGAAGGAACAUAUAAAACAUCAUAAAUGAUUGCUUCUUUUCCAUUCUUUUUCUUCACACAAAUGUUUCACAUUCCUUUUGAUGUAACAAUGUUAUUAUCAGUAAAUCUAAUGGAUCUCCUCACUGGUUCAUCAAGUUUGAUAAACCAACUUUUGUUUCCUGUCAAAUGAUUGGUGUAACUUAUAUCAAGUUAUCACACAUUUUCUUUCUCUUGAGUCAAAUGUGUUGUAUCCAUCAAAAUGACCUCUUUUGAAUCACUACAACCAGUAUGUGCAAAUUGAAUCACAAAUUUGUCACCUCCAUUGGACUCUUUGUUGCAGCAGCAAUUUGGAGCACGAUGACCAAACUUUUGAAAGCAAUAGCAUUGAACCUCCUUCAUCUCAACCUUCUUUUUGAAUUUUUUAUUUUGAGUUGCACCAUUCUUACUAGUUUCACUCUAACUUCUUGAAACCUUGCCAACAUCAACACCUUCAUUCCAUUUCUUCUUCCCUUUUUCUUUAACUUUUAUGUUAUUUGAGGAAUCGUCUUUCAUUUUCUUGAAGAAUCUGGCAUGCAAAGCUUGUUCAGAUACCUUCUCUGAAUUAUUUGUUUCAGUCUCAACUCAUGCGCUUCAAAAGAUGCUUGCAAUUCUUCAAGCUUUAUCUCUGACAAAUCUUUGGACUCCUCAAUGGCCACAACAAUGUGAUCAAACUUUGCAGGAAGAACUCUUAGAACUUUCUCAACUUUCUGCAGUUCAUAGAUCUUCUCGCUACAUAACAUUUGAUUUGUCAAAACCAUCAACUUUAAGAAGAACUCAGAAAUGGCUUCCCCAUCAUUCAUAUGCAGAUUCUAAUAUUGUUUCAUCAAAGAUUGUAGAUUUACUUUCUUUAAUUUCUCAUCACCGUCAUACAACUUCUUAAGAGUAUCCCACACAUCUUUUUUCGUUUCUUGCUUAACGAUCUUCUCAAAGACAUUUGAAUCCACACAUUGAUGAAUCAAGAAUAAAUGUUUUUCUUGUUAAUUUCACGAUGAACAUUUUUUUGCGCCUCAUUAGCAUUUACCUCUAAUGUUAAGAAACCAUUAUUCACAAUUUCAAGCAUAUCAUGAAAUUUAAAUAUCAAUUUCAUAUGCGCACACCAUCUAUCAUAGUUUUCUCUUUUAAGAACUAGGAAAUUGGUUGAGAACUGAUUUGAGGUUGUACUCCGGUUUGCCAUGGAUGGAGAAGAUUUAACAAUGUUUUAUAUACCAAUUUGUUGGAUAACUUGAGAGAGAGAGAGAGAGAGUUGAAAUAGAAUUAAUGGAAUUAAUUUUUUAUAAAACAUGAGUUACAUCUUUUAUAUAUGAUCAUAGUACUAACUACAUAACUAGCAUUUACCACAUAUUCAACUAUCACACACCAUAUACGGAACUAUCAGUAAUCAUAUGUUGAACUAUCAGUAAUCACAUGUUGAACUCUUAAUAAUCACUUAUUAACUUGUUAAUAAUUGCAUCUUAAACUAUCAAUAACACUUAACCAUAUGUUAAACUAUCAAGAACUAUUUCCUAAAUUAGGAAUAGCCACACUGAAAAUUGAAUUACAAAUCUAAUAAACUUAAUUAUACUUAUAUCUUUAUAAUCAUUUAUCUUUUAGUAUAAGUCCAUUUUAAAAGGAAUAUGAAUCAAACCUUAUAUUAUUUUUGCUCCACACUCAAUUAAUUUGGGAUAGGUUGAAAGAUUUGAAUUUGAACCUCGAUAAAGAAAUAUUAAAUCAAAAAUUAAUUAUUAAUAUUUUCUUAUAAAAUAGUACUUGCCUCCUAUCCGCCUUAUUUUUUUCUUAUUAAUAUUUUCUUAAUAUUUUUUAAUACAUGUUCAAUGGCCUGUAUUUUUUAUUUAUUUUAAGAACAGACAAUAAUAACACUUUCAAUUAUGGAAGUGCUAUGGUAGGAAUAUGACGUGGAAACCGCAAUGGACAAUAUAUUAGCAAUAAAAUGUUACUAUUAGCCAUUAGCUCUUGUCGAUGAAGUAGGGUCCACUUGAAAUAAGCUAAGAACAAAAUUGAAGCUCUUUGCAUUGGAAUGAAAAGGUGAAAAAGUUUUUAAAUUUUCUGCGCACUUAUGGACCGAUAUAUUAGAACAUCUCCGACGUCCGGUUCUGCAAAUUCAAGAACAUAUAAAACCCAUUUUAUAGCAUUUGAGCACAUGUAAUUUUGUGUCACAAUGGAGGACAGUUGCCAUGCUACCACAACCUCAUUUUUUUAAAAAUAUUAAUGUUUAGAAUCACAUUAUCAACUAUGUUCACCUGUCAUUUUUUUCAAACUUUAAUUGGAACGAAUUAAAAUGGGAUUGAAUGUCUUUUGUCACCCAUAACACCAUUGCAUUAUGGGAGAUAAUGUGGAGCGGGUGCCUGUUUGACACCCCCUAACACCAUGGCAUUAUGAGAGAUAUCACAGGUUUGUUUCAGAUUUAAAAAAAUAGAUUUUUUAAAAUUAUUUUAUAAAAUAUUAUAAAAAAAAAUUAUAUUCUUAUUUUUUAAAUUAAAAAAUUAAUUUUGAUAUUAUAUAACAUAAAUAUAUAUUAUAGAAGAUUAAGAUAUAAUCGAAAUUGUAAUUUUUUCAAAAUAUUUUAUUUUAAAAAUGAUUUUUAUAAAAAAAAAAAAACUAUUUUAAGUUAAAUAAUUUUUUAAAAUUUUGAUAUUUGAAAAAGUUUUAAUAAAAUAUAUAAAAUAAUACUUUAAAAAUAACUAUUCAAAUUAAUUUUUUAUUUAAAAUUUUUUAAAAAUAUAUAUAUAUAUAUAUAUAUAAUUUUACACAAAAUUAUAUUAUACUUUAAAAAUAUUUUUUUUUAAAUUAAAACAAACGACUCAUAACGUCAAGUACUAAACUUGGGGAUUUUUUUUAAUAACCACUAAUUUCAAUUUACAUCCCUAAAUAAUUCAUUUUUCAAAAAAACUACCGAAAUAAUCAUCUUUCUUAAUUGAUGCGCCAGUUGAACUGGCGCAUCCAAUUAAGCUAGAGAAUAGGCGCCAAUAGCCUUGGCGCAUGCAUGCAAGACCAAUAUAUGUAGGCGUCACAUGCAUUGGCACAUGCAUGUGUGUAUGUGCCAUAUACAUUGGCGCAUGCUUUGUUUUGUUACUUCUAUAAAUAUCACCCUCGCAUCUGCCAUAUUAUUUCACAGAACUUCUUACCCUCUUCCAUUCUCCUUUAAUUUCUUCAAUCACUUCCAUUUUCCUUCAAUUUCUUCAAUCAUCUUCAAUUUUGUUUUAUUUAAUCGUGUCUGAAUACAUUCACAAGAGAAGGCUUAUAAUCCUCUUUUGCAACAACUAAAAAACUAAUUAUGUAAAUAUUGGAUAGGCUUAUGACUUUGUAAACGUCAGAUAGUAAGUAUGAUGGAUCCCUUCGAACCUUUAAACAUGUCGCAAUGACAUGGGAGCAAGGCAUACGAAAGAUUUGGAACUUUCCGCAGUCGCACCAACCUUUAUCUAGUUCCACUCUGUAUUGUCCCAUUGACAUGCCUUCAUUAUGAUCCACAGACUCAACAACACUGUACCAACCUUUAGUACGGUCAAACACCGUGAUCACGUGUGUUUUAGCUUUGAUAGGUUCUUGUCUAAUGAAUUUCAUUGAAGCAUCACUGAACAACUGCCCAGAUUGAAACACUGAACUCCAUUUGCAACGUUUGGUCUCAAACAACGCCCCUAUCCAGAAAUAUGUUGUCUGCACUAAAGCGGUUAUAGGUAGGUUUCAGAUGCCUUUGAAGACAGAGUUCAUUGAUUCCACAAGAUUUGUUGUCAUGUGUCCCCAACGUUGAUUGUUGUCGUAUGCCAUAGUCCACUUCUCCAAUGGAAUACUGUCGAUUCACCAUAUUACAUCUGCGUUUGACAAUUUGAUGUCUUCGCGGUAGUGUUUGAAAGAAGAUUCUGUUAAUGCGUAACCUGCAUUGACAACCUUCUUCCGCAACAUUUUGCCUUUGAUCUCCCGUAUAAAAUUUUGAGUGAUAUGUCUAAUGCAGAAGACAUGCAUUGACGGAGGAUCUUGUCAGCCAUUAUCAAUGUUUUUGUAUGCACUCACUAUUGAAGGGUGUCGGUCAGAAAUCAAACAUAAGUUAGGUUGAGGAGAAACAUGCAAUCGGAGAUUUCUUAAGAAAAAACUUCAUCCCUCAGUAGUCUCCCCUUCAACUAGGGCAAAAGCGGUUGGAAAAAUGCUAUUGUUGUCAUCUUGUGUCAUUGCCAUCAGUAGUGUUCCUUUAUAUUUCCCGUACAAUCAUGUACUAUCAAUUUGUAUAAUAGGUUUACAAAAAGCAAAACAUUUGAUGCAUGGUUGAUACGCCCAAAAGAGAUGUUGGAAUAUUCGAUUUCCAGUAGCACAAGUCAUGUCUGGGGAAUAUGCCGACAACGUUUCCAACUUGACAAUAGUCCCUGGAGCAUAUUGUUUGAGAGCCACCAAGUAUUUUGGAAGUUGUUUGUAAGACUCAUCCCAAUUGCCAUACACUUUUUCAACCCCCUUUGUCCUAGCUAUCCAAGCAUUCAUCUAUGAUGGAGUAUAGUUGUAUUGUGCUCCAAUAUGCGUGAUUAUUGUACUCGCCUUUAACGACGAAUUAUCGCUAAUGGCAGACAAAAUUGUAUCGCAUAUUAAUUAAGAGCUAAGUUUAUUAUAGUCUUGCAUUGGAUUCAUGAGCAUGAAUGUGUGAAUUGGAACCAUGGAUCCAAUCUCCCAAGAAUCACUCAUCUUCCGGUAUGAAGCUGACAACCUAAAAAGACAGCGCUCAUUUCGACAAUAAAUCUUGUACCUCAUUGCAUUCGUUUGAUCAACUCUGUAAUCAAUGGAUAGAUUCAUGUGAUACUUUUUAAUAUCUUUUACACAAUCUUCUUUUGUGCGAAAUGUGUUUCCUUCUUUCAAUGAUCCUUGAAUUUUUACAUGAGGAUUGUAAAAUAUAUCUGAUGAAGGUUCACCGACAUCCAAAUUCAAGCUUGUCAUGUGUUGAGGUGGACAAUAUACAUGACUAGCUGGUAAUGGCUCAUCUUCUUCAUCGUUCACCAUUGAAUCAAACCCUACCCACCAACAAUCAUACGCAGUGACCACAAUAGUCUAUAGCUCAGAUGGUUCAUACAAUUCACGCCAUCGUAGCCCCCCACCAAUGACCACCCAAAUAUCUCAUCGCCACAACACCCAGCCAUUGUUUGACUUUAGUACACCCCAUGAACCAUUGAUUCGUUUCCAAACCAAUUCAAUGUCCCAAUUCGGACAAUCAUACCAUCCACAAUUCACCCAGCCACAAUGACUGAACUAUGAGAACAUAGGCGCCGAACUCAAUUACGGAAGCGUUGUUGACGAGAACCCCUCAACUAUUUGGAACAAAUGAUGACACAUCUAUCAAAUACCGUUGAACCUUCCACCGGACCUUCACACCAGCCACCAUUGGAUCAUGUCAGUACUCAAAGACCCAAACCACCUCAGGAAAAUCGUGGGAGACCUCGAAGACAGACUAACGCACAUGGAUGUGGAACAGGAGGGCGUUUCAAUCGGGUGGUCAUUGAAUUUCUUGUUAAUUCUGUGUAAUUUUUUAUUAUAUUAUAAAUAUAAUUUUUAUUUUCAAUAUUUUUUAUUUAUUUGUAAAUUUUAAUUUUAAUUUUUAAAAAAAAAUAUUAAGGUACAAAUGACACAUGCAUUGGCGCAGACACCAAGACAUGCAAGCGUCAAUGCAUGUGGCGCCUACAUGCAUUGGUUUUGCAUGCAUGCGUCUAAGACCUCGGCGCCUCCUAUGCAUUUGAAUUGGAUAUGACAGGUCAACUAAUGUAUCAGUUAAAAAUAAUAAUUAUUUUGAUAUUUUUUUCAAAAAAAAAUAAUUAUUUUGGAAUUAAACUUGAUAAUAAUGAUUAUUUAAAAUAAAUAAAAAAAUCAAACUUUGGAGUUAAAAUCUAGUAUAUGGGUCCACCUUAGAUUCUUUUUCUUUUUAACAUGGAAUAUAAAAGCUGCAAAUGUUCUUAAAGUUGAGUUGGCGUAAUAUGUCCCACAAAAAUUAAUUUAAGAACACCAUUUGUGUAGCACCUAGGAAUAUUAUCCACAAUACCACAUAUUGUGAAAACCAUUGAACAAAGACUGAACACCGGUGUUUUAAAAUCGAUUAAUUUAAUUUUAAAAGCAACAACGAAUAUAAGUCACUCUGGUGUUUUGAGACUCAAUAUAUUGGGUUUUAAAAGCAACUUAAAACAUUAGUAGUUCAAAUAACGGCAUAUUGGAGUAUGACAAAAGCAUUUUUGAACGCAUCUUUGAACGAGAGUUUAUGUGUUUAUCGCAUCAUACGAAUUUCUAAAAAUAUUUAAUAUUUUUGAAGAUUCAUCUUUGAAAAUAUCCCAACACACACUCAAGUAAAAUCAUUGAGAAUGACGUUAUAUUAUUUGGUUCAUUUUAUUUUGAAAAUGCAUUUUUAAAAAUAUCUCGUAACUACAUUUUUGUAAGCCGAUACAUCAAUACCAGACUCAAAAACAAAGAAUUUUUUCAAAUAAAGAUUCAUAAAAUAAAAUUAGGGUUACAUAUAUGAGUUCAACAUAAAAUACAAUAUUAUACUUCAAUAUUUAGGUGGACGCUUCAACAUCUUCAAAAUAUCUUUGACCAAUCUUAAAAUUGUCGUUGCAACGAAAAUUUUAUUUCGAAACGGAAAAACAUAUUCUACAUAACUCUCACAUCCGCUUGCGUGUUGAGUUCAAAUUUGCUAAACUUAAUCUUCCUCUGUUGUCAAUCGACGGUAAACGGUAGUCGAUCUUUUUAAUCUUUUGAUUAACUCCAUAAGAUAGGAGAUAAUGAAUUUUGUCUUUGAUACCAUCGAGGGAGAUGAAGUCAUUGAGUUUGAAUGUCCGUUGCGCUAGAGAAUGAGACAUUUGCGAGAUAUCAGUCAAUAUUUAGUGGCGACAUACCAGUCAAUAUUUAGUGGUGACAUAAUAGUCAAUGUUUAGUGACGGCAUUUGAGGCAUUUUCAAUUUGUAUAAAAUAUAACCUAAGAGUAUCUUAAUUUAUAGAAGUCAUAGAUCAAUAUGAAUCACUCAACGACUGACAUAUUGAUUCCAAAGAUAUAUAUCCAGAACCACAUCCUAUUUUCUUGAUCCGUCUCCGGAACUUCUCCUAAACCAGUUUCAAGACAGAACCUAUAACAGAUCCUAUGGAUCCUCAUCAUAAAAUCACCUCAAAAAACACAAGUAUUUCUUAAAAUAUUCUAGAGAUAUAUCUCCAGAAUAAAAAUAACUCAACUUAUCGAACACCUCCCAGAAUAAACUUUUAUUGAGUAUGUAAGAAGUACGUCCAAAGAUGUAUCUCCGAAAAUAUGACAUUUUUUAAAAUUUGUGGAAUACGAUAGAAACAUAUAAGAUGUGUAAAGAAGUCUCGUACGAAUAAGAAAAGUUCUCUGGAAUCCACUGUUGUACAGCUUUCAGGGGUCUGCAUUUCUUAACGCCAAAAAGAAGCCCAACACAAUCAAAGUGACAACAGAUACACACCUCCUAUAAUCACUUCUCAUAGGAUUUCCAAAAACAAACCAAGCGGAUAAGGAACUGAGGAACACUCAAUGCUUAACGGCUAAAUUUCUCCAGAAAAGAGAUUCAGAUUGUAGGAGCUUAAAGUAAACACAUUCCAACAUGCAAAAGAUAACUCCAGUUACAACUCUAACCUGUUUCUAGAUUCUAUAUUAGUUUGGUUUCGAUGGAUUUGACAUAUUACAUGGUAUUAAGGUGGAUUUGCCUUAAUGGCAGUGAUUUACCAUGAUUCUGGCAAGAUAUUGUGCACCAAUUAACCAAACAUUCUGGCAAGAUAUUGUGCACCAAUUAACCAAACAUUCUGGCAAGAUAUUAUGCACCAAUUAACCAAACAUGAAUCCUGUGAACUAAUAAUAUAAGCAGGACAAAAAAUUGCAUCACCCAUUCACAAGAAAAUCAAUUAAUUUUAUAACCGUUAUAUUAAGAUUAAAGGCGAGGGGUUAUCGCGUUUAAUCUACCAGACGUGUCCUACAGCAUUGUGGCACGGGGUUAUCGCUGCCACAACAGAUUAGCCAUAGGAAAAAAUUCCGAGUCAGGAGACGGAGGGAAAGGGCAUGAGAUGAUCCAAAUCCGCCACAACCUACAAUCAACCCUUAACUUAAUACAACCAAUGCAUCACGAAACCAAUGAUCACAAUAAGCUAAACCAACAACUCAAACGCACUUAUUAUCCGAGCACAGAACAAAUUAUUUGAACACAGAAAAACAUAUUAUAACAGACACGGAUCUAUUAUCAUAACAGACACAGAACAAUAUAUCAUAACACAGAACAUAAAGUAAGUAGUAGCACGAUCAUAUUAACUGCCAUCAAGGGAACAAUAUGUUACAUAUUCAAGGCUUAAGAAGGGCCAAAUUAAUAAUAACAGCACAACUCAAUCCGAUUCCCAUCAAAAACCUUUCAUCGCAACAGUUCAAACACAACAUUCAUACCUAAAAUUCAUCAUCUUGAUAUUUAAAAAAA
Molecule: long non-coding RNA, 15206 nt
Filed under: Lathyrus oleraceus (garden pea)
Lineage: Eukaryota; Viridiplantae; Streptophyta; Magnoliopsida; Fabales; Fabaceae
Description: Pisum sativum (pea) long non-coding RNA (PSAT_LNC010956)
Source: RNAcentral